UCCAGCAUGGUCUAAUGGUAGGACACUGCACUCUGAAUGCAGGAGUCAGGGUUCAAUUCCCUGUGCUGGAA
Molecule: transfer RNA, 71 nt
Filed under: Seminavis robusta
Lineage: Eukaryota; Bacillariophyta; Bacillariophyceae; Naviculales; Naviculaceae
Rfam family: tRNA
About the family: Transfer RNA (tRNA) molecules are approximately 80 nucleotides in length. Their secondary structure includes four short double-helical elements and three loops (D, anti-codon, and T loops).
Source: Rfam by way of RNAcentral